UAAUACGUAGGUGGCAAGCGUUGUCCGGAUUUACUGGGCGUAAAGAGCGCGCAGGCGGUCUUGUAAGUCGAAUGUGAAAGCCCCUGGCUCAACCAGGGAGGGUCAUUCGAUACUGCUUGACUCGAAGGCAGGAGAGGGAAGUGGAAUUCCGGGUGUAGUGGUGAAAUGCGUAGAUAUCCGGAGGAACACCAGUGGCGAAGGCGACUUUCUGGCCUGUUCUUGACGCUGAGGCGCGAAAGCUAGGGGAGCAAACGGG
RNAcentral lists this ribosomal RNA (256 nucleotides) under uncultured bacterium. RNAcentral's name for it is "partial 16S ribosomal RNA". It matches the Rfam family "Bacterial small subunit ribosomal RNA", at positions 521 to 776 of the family's 1533-position model. The record is from RNAcentral.